GAUGAACGCUGGCGGCGUGCCUAACACAUGCAAGUCGAGCGGGAUUUUCUGGAUUGAAGCUUCGGCAGAUUGAAGGAAAUGAGAGCGGCGGACGGGUGAGUAACGCGUAGGCAACCUGCCCUUUGCAGAGGGAUAGCCAUUGGAAACGAUGAUUAAAACCUCAUAAUACCGAGGAAAGACAUCUUACUUCGGUCAAAGAUUUAUCGGCAAAGGAUGGGCCUGCGUCUGAUUAGCUAGUUGGUGAGGUAACGGCUCACCAAGGCGACGAUCAGUAGCCGGUCUGAGAGGAUGAACGGCCACAUUGGGACUGAGACACGGCCCAGACUCCUACGGGAGGCAGCAGUGGGGAAUCUUCCGCAAUGGACGAAAGUCUGACGGAGCAAUGCCGCGUGAGGAAGAAGGCCUUCGGGUU
This 412-nucleotide ribosomal RNA is filed under the name uncultured bacterium. Its description in RNAcentral is "bacterial SSU rRNA". It matches the Rfam family "Bacterial small subunit ribosomal RNA", at positions 28 to 424 of the family's 1533-position model. The record is from RNAcentral.